Molecule: non-coding RNA, 110 nt
Organism: Araneus ventricosus
Lineage: Eukaryota; Metazoa; Arthropoda; Arachnida; Araneae; Araneidae
Source: the annotation of a GenBank genome assembly
UGUCGAAGUGGGAUUCGAACCCACGCCUCAACGUGGACCAGAACUUCAACACUUGCGAAGAGCAAGGGAACCCUUGAGUCUGGCGCCUUAGACCGCUCGGCCAUCCUGAC